This 496-nucleotide ribosomal RNA is filed under the name uncultured bacterium. RNAcentral describes it as "partial 16S ribosomal RNA". It matches the Rfam family "Bacterial small subunit ribosomal RNA", at positions 28 to 506 of the family's 1533-position model. The record is from RNAcentral.
GAUGAACGCUGGCGGCGUGCCUAAUACAUGCAAGUCGAGCGAACAGACGAGGAGCUUGCUCCUCUGACGUUAGCGGCGGACGGGUGAGUAACACGUGGAUAACCUACCUAUAAGACUGGGAUAACUUCGGGAAACCGGAGCUAAUACCGGAUAAUAUAUUGAACCGCAUGGUUCAAUAGUGAAAGACGGUUUUGCUGUCACUUAUAGAUGGAUCCGCGCCGCAUUAGCUAGUUGGUAAGGUAACGGCUUACCAAGGCAACGAUGCGUAGCCGACCUGAGAGGGUGAUCGGCCAAACUGGAACUGAGACACGGUCAAGACUCCUACGGGAGGCAGCAGUAGGGAAUCUUCCGCAAUGGGCGAAAGCCUGACGGAGCAACGCCGCGUGAGUGAUGAAGGUCUUCGGAUCGUAAAACUCUGUUAUUAGGGAAGAACAAAUGUGUAAGUAACUAUGCACGUCUUGACGGUACCUAAUCAGAAAGCCACGGCUAACUACGU